UUACAGCCAUAUCAGGUUGAAAUACCAGUUCCCGGACGAUCACUGAAGUUAAGCAACGUCGAGCUUGGUUAGUACCUAGAUGAGUGACCGCUUGAAAAUAUCAGGUACUGUAAG
Molecule: non-coding RNA, 114 nt
Organism: Acanthosepion pharaonis
Lineage: Eukaryota; Metazoa; Mollusca; Cephalopoda; Sepiida; Sepiidae
Source: the annotation of a GenBank genome assembly